This 22-nucleotide non-coding RNA is filed under the name Gossypium hirsutum (cotton). The record is from RNAcentral. Lineage: Eukaryota; Viridiplantae; Streptophyta; Magnoliopsida; Malvales; Malvaceae.
GAAGCGCUGGAGGGUAGAGUGG